Molecule: ribosomal RNA, 776 nt
Filed under: uncultured Neocallimastigales
Lineage: Eukaryota; Fungi; Neocallimastigomycota; Neocallimastigomycetes; Neocallimastigales
Description: partial large subunit ribosomal RNA
Rfam family: Eukaryotic large subunit ribosomal RNA
Source: RNAcentral
UAUCUCUGUAGAGUCUGCAUAUCAAUAAGCGGAGGAAAAGAAACUAACUAGGAUUCCCUCAGUAACGGCGAGUGAAGCGGGAAGAGCUCAAAUUUGAAAUCUUCAAGGUUUUACCUUGACGAAUUGUAGUUUAAAGAAGUGUUUUCUGUUGGUGUUUUGGUAAAAGUUCUUUGGAAUAGGACAUCAUAGAGGGUGAGAAUCCCGUAUUUGACCAUUACUUCCAGCGUUGUGAUACACUUUCAAAGAGUCGGAUUGUUUGGGAAUGCAGUCCAAAAUGGGUGGUAAAUUUCAUCUAAAGCUAAAUAUUGGCGAGAGACCGAUAGCGAACAAGUACCGUGAGGGAAAGAUGAAAAGAACUUUGAAAAGAGAGUUAAACAGUACGUGAAAUUGUCAAAAGGGAAGCGUUUGACACCAGUGUUGUUUUCUCGAAAAUCAAUUAAAAAUGACUGGAUUUUGUGUUGUAUUGACCUUAUAAGCUUUCUGCACUCUUUUCUAUGUUAUUUUUAACUGCACUUUUCGUUUAACAAGUCAACAUCAAUUUCUUUUAUUGUAAAAGAGUCAUUGGAAGGUGGCUUUCUUUUCGGAGAAAGUGUUUAUAGCCUUUGCCUCUGCAGUCGGAGAGAUUGAGGUCUGUAGCGUAGAUCCUUCGGGGAUUAGAUGCAUUUGUGCUAAGUUAUAGCCUUUCAUAGACAACUUGUUGACUAUGAUUAGUCAUUGUAGCUUACUCGCUUAUGUAUUUUACCUACGCUUAGGAUGUUGAUCUCUCACAGUCGAGC